AAGUCGUAACAAGGUUUCCGUAGGUGAACCUGCGGAAGGAUCAUUACAGAGUUAGGGUCCCCUGGGCCCGAUCUCCAACCCUUUGUUUAACUACCAUGUUGCUUUGGCGGGCCCGUCUCGCGACCGUCGGGGGGAUUAACCCCCUGGCCAGCGCCCGCCAGGAGCCCCUUCAAAUUCUUGACAAAUCAUGGUGUCUGAGUGAGAUAAACCUAAUAGUUAAAAACUUUCAACAACGGAUCUCUUGGUUCUG
RNAcentral lists this unclassified non-coding RNA (250 nucleotides) under Chaetothyriales sp. RNAcentral's name for it is "partial contains small subunit ribosomal RNA, internal transcribed spacer 1, and 5.8S ribosomal RNA". The stretch from base 1 to 46 matches the Rfam family "Eukaryotic small subunit ribosomal RNA", at positions 1786 to 1831 of the family's 1831-position model. Lineage: Eukaryota; Fungi; Ascomycota; Eurotiomycetes; Chaetothyriales. The record is from RNAcentral.